UUCAUUUAGCUCAAUUGGUAGAGCAUGAGGCUCUUAAUCCAGGGGCUGUGAGUUCGAGCCCCGCUUUGGGCGAAA
This is a non-coding RNA of Podarcis lilfordi (Lilford's wall lizard), 75 nucleotides long. Lineage: Eukaryota; Metazoa; Chordata; Lepidosauria; Squamata; Lacertidae. The record is from the annotation of a GenBank genome assembly.